RNAcentral lists this ribosomal RNA (253 nucleotides) under uncultured bacterium. Its description in RNAcentral is "partial 16S ribosomal RNA". It matches the Rfam family "Bacterial small subunit ribosomal RNA", at positions 524 to 776 of the family's 1533-position model. The record is from RNAcentral.
UACGGAGGGUGCGAGCGUUGUCCGGAAUCAUUGGGCGUAAAGGGCGCGUAGGUGGCGGGAUAAGCGUGCGGUGAAAGCUCGGGGCUCAACCCCGAGUCGGCCGUGCGAACUAUUCUGCUUGAGCACUGUAGAGGCAGGCGGAAUUCCGGGUGUAGCGGUGGAAUGCGUAGAGAUCCGGAAGAACACCGGUGGCGAAGGCGGCCUGCUGGGCAGUAGCUGACACUGAGGCGCGACAGCGUGGGGAGCAAACAGG